Molecule: non-coding RNA, 461 nt
Organism: Chiloscyllium plagiosum (whitespotted bambooshark)
Lineage: Eukaryota; Metazoa; Chordata; Chondrichthyes; Orectolobiformes; Hemiscylliidae
Source: RefSeq, a predicted model, not a curated record
CUGUAUCCUCCUAACGGAACAUUUUGAUGCAAGCUAACAAAGUCUGCACCUUUCCCUUCCUCCCAGAAGGAACCUUCAGCGGGCCACCUUUGAUAACAUUUGAGCACCGAGACCCAAAAGCCAGCCCCUGACCAGAAAUGAUGCAGAAAAGAUGGUGUUGGCCUUUCUCAUCUGCAUUCGUCCUACAUGCAUCUAUCCACUGACAGGAUCAAAUCACUUUGGACCAAGGCAGAUUUGAGCAUCCCGCAACAUGAGUCAAAGGUUGUGCCUGAAUUAUAUGGAAAAGCCUGAGCUCCAGCAAUUGACCCACAAGCAGCAGCUAAAAAGCUGUUACCUUCUGGAUCUGGUGAUUAUUGCAUCUCUUUAUUCCCCCUCUUUAUUUCCCAGAUUUCUCCAAGACCUGAGAAAUGUGUGCUGGAGGGAUUAAACCCAAAAUUCAUUGACUAAAACUGAGGCAGGGA